RNAcentral lists this ribosomal RNA (222 nucleotides) under uncultured bacterium. Its description in RNAcentral is "partial 16S ribosomal RNA". It matches the Rfam family "Bacterial small subunit ribosomal RNA", at positions 28 to 250 of the family's 1533-position model. The record is from RNAcentral.
GACGAACGCUGGCGGCGUGCUUAAUAACAUGCAAGUCAACUGAGCUUAAGAUAGCAAUAUUUUAAGUGCGGUGGCGCACGGGUGAGUAACACGUAGGUAAUCUGCCUUUAGGUCUGACAUAAUCCCGCGAAAGCGGGACUAAAAUCAGAUGAUGCAGCGGCUCGACAUCGAGACAGUUGUUAAACCUCGGGCCUAAGAUGAGCCUGCGUCUGAUUAGGAGUU